RNAcentral lists this transfer RNA (73 nucleotides) under Rubrobacter xylanophilus DSM 9941. Its description in RNAcentral is "tRNA-Ala (TGC) (tRNA-Ala-TGC-1-1)". It matches the Rfam family "tRNA". Rfam says of the family: Transfer RNA (tRNA) molecules are approximately 80 nucleotides in length. Their secondary structure includes four short double-helical elements and three loops (D, anti-codon, and T loops). The record is from Rfam by way of RNAcentral. Lineage: Bacteria; Bacillati; Actinomycetota; Rubrobacteria; Rubrobacterales; Rubrobacteraceae.
GGGCCCGUAGCUCAGGUGGGAGAGCGCCGCCUUUGCACGGCGGAGGCCAGGGGUUCGAGUCCCCUCGGGUCCA